This 253-nucleotide ribosomal RNA is filed under the name uncultured bacterium. RNAcentral's name for it is "partial 16S ribosomal RNA". It matches the Rfam family "Bacterial small subunit ribosomal RNA", at positions 524 to 776 of the family's 1533-position model. The record is from RNAcentral.
UACGUAGGGGGCUAGCGUUGUCCGGAAUCAUUGGGUGUAAAGCGCGUGUAGGCGGUCCGGUAAGUCCGCUGUGAAAGUCGAGGGCUCAACCCUCGAAUGCCGGUGGAUACUGUCGGGCUUGAGUACGGGAGAGGCGAGUGGAAUUCCUGGUGUAGCGGUGAAAUGCGCAGAUAUCAGGAGGAACACCGAUUGCGAAGGCAGCUCGCUGGAACGUUACUGACGCUGAGACGCGAAAGCGUGGGGAGCAGACAGG